RNAcentral lists this ribosomal RNA (248 nucleotides) under uncultured bacterium. RNAcentral's name for it is "partial 16S ribosomal RNA". It matches the Rfam family "Bacterial small subunit ribosomal RNA", at positions 334 to 599 of the family's 1533-position model. The record is from RNAcentral.
UCGCCCUACGGGACGCAGCAGUGGGGAAUAUUGCACAAUGGGGGGAACCCUGAUGCAGCGACGCCGCGUGGGCGAUGGAGUAUUUCGGUAUGUAAAGCCCUAUCGGCAGGGAAGAAAAUGACAGUACCUGACUAAGAAGCCCCGGCUAACUACGUGCCAGCAGCCGCGGUAAUACGUAGGUGGCAAGCGUUGUUCGGAAUAACUGGGCGUAAAGGAUGCGUAGGCGGUUAAACAAGUUAUAUGUUAAA